GACAGAGGGUGCAAACGUUGUUCGGAAUUACUGGGCGUAAAGCGCGCGUAGGCAGCAGCGUGUGUCGGGCGUGAAAUCCCACGGCUCAACCGUGGAAGUGCACUCGAAACUGCGCAGCUAGAGUCUCGGAGAGGAAGGCGGAAUGCUUGGUGUAGAGGUGAAAUUCGUAGAUAUCAAGCGGAACACCGGUGGCGAAGGCGGCCUUCUGGACGAUGACUGACGCUGAAGCGCGAAAGCUAGGGGAGCGAACGGG
RNAcentral lists this ribosomal RNA (253 nucleotides) under uncultured bacterium. RNAcentral's name for it is "partial 16S ribosomal RNA". It matches the Rfam family "Bacterial small subunit ribosomal RNA", at positions 524 to 776 of the family's 1533-position model. The record is from RNAcentral.